CUUAAAUGUAGAGUGUCAUUUUUAGAGAUAGAAGUUCCCUUCGGGGCUUUCUGCAAGGUGCUGCAUGGUUGUCGUCAGCUCGUGCCGUGAGGUGUCGGGUUAAGUCCCAUAACGAGCGCAACCCUUAUCGUUAGUUGCCAUCUGGUAAUGCAGGGGACUCUAGCGAAACUGCCACCGUAAGGUGAGAGGAAGUGGGGAUGACGUCAAAUCAGCACGGCCCUUAUGUCCAGGGCUACACACGUGUUACAAUGGUCGGUACAGAGGGCAGCUACCUGGUGACAGGAUGCUAAUCUCGAAAACCGGUCUCAGUUCGGAUCGAAGUCUGCAACUCGACUUCGUGAAGCUGGAUUCGCUAGUAAUCGCGCAUCAGCUAUGGCGCGGUGAGUACGUUCCCGGGCCUU
RNAcentral lists this ribosomal RNA (401 nucleotides) under uncultured Sphingobacteriales bacterium. Its description in RNAcentral is "bacterial SSU rRNA". It matches the Rfam family "Bacterial small subunit ribosomal RNA", at positions 980 to 1382 of the family's 1533-position model. The record is from RNAcentral. Lineage: Bacteria; Pseudomonadati; Bacteroidota; Sphingobacteriia; Sphingobacteriales.